AGAACAUGAAUAAACAAAUUAGCAAGUGUAUAGAGCCAUGAGGAACUUAAGAGACAUUGAAUUUACUUUGAGAAAGACACCCGCCUGUCCUAACUUACCUUUAUUUGACAUUUACUAAUUAUACUCAGAGAAAUUCAUACACUAUCGCAAGAUGCAACCGAGAGUGAAUAUCCAACUUAAAUAUUCAUCCAGAAGAAUAGGAAGAUGUGGAAAGUUAUUGAAAACAACUGCCUGUGGACAAAAUUAGCUUUCAUUGGAAAGAUGGGUUAAUCAGGAGAAACAUGUUGAGACUAAAUUAUAUACAAAUUAGUUUAAUUAUUUGACAAGGUAAUAGAAAAGCUUUGUCAAUGUAGGUUUUGAACACAAUGACCAAUCAAAGUCAUUCCAAAGUUACACAGGAGCCUUUUUAAGUUGAGGCAACUGGAACUUAGGGGAACGUGACAAUAUAUACCCAGAAUUAUCUUCAACCAGAUGUAGAGACUACAAUAUACAGAGCUUUGUAAAAUACAGACCUGAUUUAUCAGUAUGAUAUCAAAAACUAAGGACUUAAGUUUGAGAAGUCUGAAUCAGACAGUGAACAUCAGCAUUAAUUUUUAUCGUGCAAGACAAUCAAUCCAAUCGUGAUUCUACCCUUAAAUGUUGCACAUACUCAGCCUCAAGAUAGUUUUCAGAAGUGGAGAACUCCAGCUGUCUUUUUCUACUGCAUAGGAUAUAACAGAGAAAAGCAGCAGCUGAUUGUGUGAACCUCUGGAGAAUUCUCAUCUGACAGAUGCAAUGAGCAGUU
This is a non-coding RNA of Chiloscyllium plagiosum (whitespotted bambooshark), 784 nucleotides long. Lineage: Eukaryota; Metazoa; Chordata; Chondrichthyes; Orectolobiformes; Hemiscylliidae. The record is from RefSeq and is a predicted model, not a curated record.